UCAGUAGCUAAUUGCAUCUAUUCUUCCCCUUGGUCACUGGGAAAUACGGUAGGUUUACUUCAUAGUCUCAAGUUGAGGAAGUACUUUCUGAGUGGAAGGAGCAACUGUGAUAGCAUUAAGUGUUGUGAGGCCCCUGGGAAUCUCAUGUCAUGAUGAUCCUCUGGGAGCAGGGACUCCAUAUGUUACUGCAACAGCUGAAGCCAUGUGUGGAAUGCUGCCAGCACAUGCCCAUUCUCAGCACUCAUUCAAACCUUGAUUGGACCUGAGUGGCAAGUGUGAAUGUGUAGCCACUUUGAGAAGAAGCCACCUUAUUGGAUCUCCAUGACUGGCUUUGGACAUUGCAGCUGGGGCGUGGUUGUGUAGGUGAGAUUUGACCAUUGGGUCAGUAAGGUAUAAAACAAAAGGGGAACUUUGAACAUACAUCUACAUUUAUUUUCCUUCAAUGUUCAGAACAUUCUGAUGAGCUCUGAUUAGCUGUUUUUAUAACUUCAAGGCUGCACUUCAUUGCUUUCUAGAUCAAAUAUAAAGAUGGUGACCUCUCAACAGUAAUCACUGACCCACAUAAAUUUUGGGCUAUUUCAGAAAAAAAAUCAUCACCUGCAGCUUUCGCCACCAAUUCGUGGUUCAAAUCCAUAAAGUAAAUAAGAAUGAAAUCAAGUGCCUUAUUAGCAAGAAUCGCACUAAAGGUCUCCCAAUUACCAGAUGUAAAUGAAAACCAGAUGCUCUUGGAAAUAAAAUAUUCCAUCUUGAAUGCCUGCAAGGACAUAUGAUGCUUCCUGACCUGCUCGGUAUUUUCAGCGUUUUCCUUUAUUUCAGAAUUCCUGCAUCUGCAAGUUUUAUUUUUGCAUUUCAAAUAGAAUCUACGUAGCCAUAAAUAUCUCUUUUCUCAUUAUUUCUUGUAUCCAGUUAAUGGGCAUCUUCAUCUUCUUCAAGUGACUGAUCCGAUUAUAUGAUUUAGGAAUAUGGCCUCUACUGCAUCAAUCUUUACAUUAAUCUUAAUGCGUAUUGCCAAGUUUAUCCCAGUUCCCUCUAUUCCAGUGAAUUACUUCAUUUGCUUCAUUGAAAGCACAUUAAGAAGUUCAAAACAAAGUGAUUCAUUUCUUACUAAUUAUAUAAAACUACUAUUACAUGGUUGACUACACUGGUACAAUUUUAGCAUCUUAACCUGAACCAGCAUGCAGAAUGCUAGAAUUUCAACAUACCAAUCAGACCCGUUAACACACAUGUUCAAGGAUGAUGUUUCAUGGAAUAUAAGAAAUAGGAACAGAUCCCUUAAGCCUGCUCUCCCUGAUCUUUGACCUCAAGUCCAUUUUCCCACCAGAUCUUUUAAUUCCUUUAGCAAUCCAAAAAUCCACUGACCUCAGAUUUCAAUAUUCUCAACAACUCAUCACCUUAAGCACAAAUAGAGUUCCAAAUAUUUGUGGGGAGAAAUCAGUCCUCGACAGCUAUUCCCUAUUUUUAGUUGACGUGCACUCUCUACAAAUUCUCAGCCAUGGGGAACAGCUUCUCACCAACUCCCAGUCAUGCCUUCUCAGAAUUUUACAUUCCCUGUAAAACAUCUUCACUUUUAAAUAUGAAUGGAAUGCAAAAGACGCUCUUUCAAAUAUUUGACAUAUAAUUGUAAUAAUACAUGUAAUUAAUGAUUUGUAACCCAGUAUGGUAAUAAAAUCUAUAUAGCCUGCUGAUUUUUGAUAGAUGUUAAAUUAAAAUCUUCAUGGCCUUUGUAAUUCAAUGAGCAGAUGUAUAUUCAAUUAGCUGAAAGUCCUCUAAUUUUUGUUUUACAAAAUGUGGUUGCAUGAUUUUAAUAAAAUGUUUGAAGUGGAACAUUUUUGAUGAGGAACAUUUUAAAGUUAAUUUUUCAAAAUCCCGCAACUGUGCAAGCUUUUUUUAAAUAAUUUUGCAGCUUGUGAAACUAUGUGUACUCUGGCUCAUCCCUUCCUGUACAUGCUGCGAUACGCAAUCUAACUGUCCCUGGACGUUUCCCAGUGGAUUUGACCUUUUCAUUGGCUUGUAAUAAUGUUAUUUUAAGUUGACCACAUUGUUUGCAUAUUACCAUGGAGUUUAUUGCAUGAACAAAUACUCAAAGUAAUGAGGCCUAAAAUAAAUGUUAAAUGUAACGGAAAGGUUUUUCCUUUAUUGCAUACAGUGGAGUCAGCUAUAAGCUUGGCUCUAGACAUUCUCUGGAAGUUAAAGAACACAUAAAGGGAGCUUGAGACAGUUAAUGGAGAUGUCUUGAGGACAGUUUGUAUUAUGGCCGAGGAGAUUUUGGACGUCCCAGGGCAUAUUAAGGUAGGUAAAUCUCCCAUGCCUAAUCAGAUAUAUCCAAGGACACUCUGGGAAACUAGAGAAGAAAUAGCAGAAGCCCCGGCUGAGAUAUAUGAAUCAUCAUUAGACAUGGGUGAAGUGCAGGAUGACAGGAGGGCAGCUAAUGCUGUGCCUCUAUUUAAGAAGGGCUGUAAGGAACAGCCUGGGAACUAUAAACCAGUAAGCCUAACAUUUGUAGUAAAUUACUGAGGAAGAUUCUGAAGGAUAAGAUUUAUAUGCAUUUAGAUAGACAAGGGCUGAUUAGGGAUAGUCAGCAUUGUUUAGUAUAUGGGAGAUCGUGUCUUGCCAAUUUUACUGAAAUUUUUGAAGAAACUUAACCAAUAAGGUUAAUGCCUUAACCAAUAAGGUUAAUGAGGGCAAUGCCAUCGAUGUUGUCUAUAUUGACUUUAGCAAGGGUCUUUGUUAAGAUUCCGCACGGCAUGCUGUUCAGGAAUGUUAGAUUGCAUGAAAUCCGGGGAGAAGUAGCUUACUGGAUACAGAAUUGGCUUCAUGGAAGGAAACAGAGGAUGAUAGUGGCAGAUAUCUUAUCAUACUGGAGGUACAUGCC
Leucoraja erinaceus (little skate) is the source of this 2872-nucleotide long non-coding RNA. RefSeq lists it as uncharacterized. The transcript is spliced from 3 exons. Lineage: Eukaryota; Metazoa; Chordata; Chondrichthyes; Rajiformes; Rajidae. The record is from RefSeq and is a predicted model, not a curated record.